RNAcentral lists this ribosomal RNA (373 nucleotides) under uncultured organism. Its description in RNAcentral is "partial 16S ribosomal RNA". It matches the Rfam family "Bacterial small subunit ribosomal RNA", at positions 527 to 896 of the family's 1533-position model. The record is from RNAcentral.
GGAGGGUGCGAGCGUUGUCCGGAAUCACUGGGCGUAAAGGGCGCGUAGGCGGCGCAGUAAGUAGGGGGUGAAAUCUCAUGGCUCAACCGUGAAACGGCCUCCUAAACUGCUGUGCUUGAGCACGGUAGAGGCAGAUGGAAUUCCCGGUGUAGCGGUGGAAUGCGUAGAUAUCGGGAAGAACACCAGUGGCGAAGGCGGUCUGCUGGGCCGUCGCUGACGCUGAGGCGCGACAGCGUGGGGAGCAAACAGGAUUAGAUACCCUGGUAGUCCACGCCCGUAAACGAUGGGUACUAGGCGUCGGGGGGAGCGACCCCUUCGGUGCCGUCGCUAACGCAGUAAGUACCCCCGCCUGGGGAGUACGGCCGCAAGGCUG